UAGCAUAUCAAUAAGCGGAGGAAAAGAAACCAACAGGGAUUGCCCUAGUAACGGCGAGUGAAGCGGCAACAGCUCAAAUUUGAAAUCUGGCUUCGGCCCGAGUUGUAAUUUGUAGAGGAUGCUUUUGGCGCGGUGCCUUCUGAGUUCCCUGGAACGGGACGCCAUAGAGGGUGAGAGCCCCGUAUAGUUGGACACCUAGCCUCUGUAAAGCUCCUUCGACGAGUCGAGUAGUUUGGGAAUGCUGCUCAAAAUGGGAGGUAAAUUUCUUCUAAAGCUAAAUACCGGCCAGAGACCGAUAGCGCACAAGUAGAGUGAUCGAAAGAUGAAAAGCACUUUGAAAAGAGGGUUAAACAGCACGUGAAAUUGUUGAAAGGGAAGCGCUUAUGACCAGACUUGGGCCCUGCAAAUCAUCCGGCGUUCUCGCCGGUGCACUUUGCUGGGUCCAGGCCAGCAUCGGUUUUCCCAGGGGGAUAAAAGUUUAGGGAACGUAACUCCUCCGGGAGUGUUAUAGCCCUUUUCAUAAUACCCUUGGGGGGACCGAGGACCGCGCUUCUGCAAGGAUGCUGGCGUAAUGGUCAUCAGCGACCCGUCUUGAAACACGGACCAAGGAGUCAACCAUUAGGGCGAGUGUUUGGGUGUAAAACCCGCACGCGUAAUGAAAGUGAACGUAGGUGAGAGCUUCGGCGCAUCAUCGACCGAUCCUGAAGUAUUCGGAUGGAUUUGAGUAAGAGCCUUACCGGUUGGACCCGAAAGAUGGUGAACUAUGCCUGUAUAGGGUGAAGCCAGAGGAAACUCUGGUGGAGGCUCGCAGCGGUUCUGACGUGCAAAUCGAUCGUCAAAUAUGGGCAUGGGGGCGAAAGACUAAUCGAACCAUCUUGUACCUGGUUACCGCCAAU
This 896-nucleotide ribosomal RNA is filed under the name Barbatosphaeria neglecta. RNAcentral describes it as "LSU rRNA". It matches the Rfam family "Eukaryotic large subunit ribosomal RNA", at positions 36 to 965 of the family's 3401-position model. Lineage: Eukaryota; Fungi; Ascomycota; Sordariomycetes; Barbatosphaeriales; Barbatosphaeriaceae. The record is from RNAcentral.